Molecule: ribosomal RNA, 710 nt
Filed under: Staphylococcus saprophyticus
Lineage: Bacteria; Bacillati; Bacillota; Bacilli; Caryophanales; Staphylococcaceae
Description: bacterial SSU rRNA
Rfam family: Bacterial small subunit ribosomal RNA
Source: RNAcentral
CUAGGGCUAUAAUGCAGUCGAGCGAACAGAUAAGGAGCUUGCUCCUUUGACGUUAGCGGCGGACGGGUGAGUAACACGUGGGUAACCUACCUAUAAGACUGGGAUAACUUCGGGAAACCGGAGCUAAUACCGGAUAACAUUUGGAACCGCAUGGUUCUAAAGUGAAAGAUGGUUUUGCUAUCACUUAUAGAUGGACCCGCGCCGUAUUAGCUAGUUGGUAAGGUAACGGCUUACCAAGGCGACGAUACGUAGCCGACCUGAGAGGGUGAUCGGCCACACUGGAACUGAGACACGGUCCAGACUCCUACGGGAGGCAGCAGUAGGGAAUCUUCCGCAAUGGGCGAAAGCCUGACGGAGCAACGCCGCGUGAGUGAUGAAGGGUUUCGGCUCGUAAAACUCUGUUAUUAGGGAAGAACAAAUGUGUAAGUAACUGUGCACGUCUUGACGGUACCUAAUCAGAAAGCCACGGCUAACUACGUGCCAGCAGCCGCGGUAAUCCCGUAGCCCCGCAAGCGUUAUCCGGAAUUAUUGGGCGUAAAGCGCGCGUAGGCGGUUUCUUAAGUCUGAUGUGAAAGCCCACGGCUCAACCGUGGAGGGGUCAUUGGAAACUGGGAAACUUGAGUGCAGAAGAGGAAAGUGGGAAUUCCAUGUGUAGCGGUGAAAUGCGCAGAGAUAUGGAGGGAACACCAGUGGGCGAAGGCGACUUUCUG